CUGAACUAGUAAUUAAUCUUUUUGUUUGUUCUCUUUUGACGUAAUUCUCAGUAGUCCAAUGAGUACAACAGAAGAACUAAAACCAAAAAAUCAUCCGUUGGCUGAAAGAAUAGAAGUACACGUGAAUACUUCUUGUACUAGCACUUGCAGAGGAAAGAAAUGAUUGGACUAAGAAUUUCUCUGCCAUAAAUAUCUCCUGCUGGUAGAUCCUGUCAGUUCAAAUGUCUCUCAAAGUCACCCGGAAAAGACUGCAACCACAGCUGAAUACAAGCACUUUUUCAGAAUCAUACUGAAGGUAAUGUUUUCCUUCUUUGCUCUUUACUUUGCCAUGAUUAGACUCCCUAUAGAUAGAACUGAGACA
This 361-nucleotide long non-coding RNA is filed under the name Struthio camelus australis. RNAcentral describes it as "lncRNA (ENSSCUG00000018785.1)". The record is from RNAcentral. Lineage: Eukaryota; Metazoa; Chordata; Aves; Struthioniformes; Struthionidae.